This 2040-nucleotide ribosomal RNA is filed under the name Dicellophilus carniolensis. Its description in RNAcentral is "partial 28S ribosomal RNA". It matches the Rfam family "Eukaryotic large subunit ribosomal RNA", at positions 44 to 1897 of the family's 3401-position model. Lineage: Eukaryota; Metazoa; Arthropoda; Chilopoda; Geophilomorpha; Mecistocephalidae. The record is from RNAcentral.
UAAUAAGCGGAGGAAAAGAAACUAACAAGGAUUCCCUUAGUAACUGCGAGUGAAGAGGGAUGAGCCCAGCACCGAAGCCCUUCGCCUUAACUGGUGUCGAGCAAUGUGGUGUUUAAAGGAAACCGCUUCCGACAGGUUGUCCAUGCCCAAGUCCCCCUGACUGGGGCCACAGCCCAUGGCGGGUGCAAGGCCCAUGCGGCAUUUGUGGCAGCCUGAAGGUUGGUUACCUUUUUGGAGUCGGGUUGCUUGAGAGUGCAGCCCUAAGUAGGUGGUAAACUCCAUCUAAGGCUAAAUACCAAACACGAGACCGAUAGCAAACAAGUACCGUGAGGGAAAGUUGCAAAGAACUUUGGAGAGAGAGUUCAAGAGUACGUGAAACCGUUCGGAGGUAAACGGAUGGGACCUCGAAGGUCGAACGGGUGGAUUCAACCCGUCGGUAGUUGCACCACUGUUGCGGAUAGUUACCUCACUAACGGAUCCGAGGGACCGGUCUGCCUGUGGUUUAAAAGCAGCUUGCUGGCGGGCGCACUUCCACCUUAGUAGGACGCUGCGACCGGUUGGUUUUUAUGUGGCAGCCUUAAGAUUAUGUGGCUAGCAGGUAUCCGUUGUGGGCUUUCCUUGCGAAGGCCCAGUCGGAGUUAUAGCCCACUUAAUACUGGCAUUGCUCACCGACCGUUGAUGAAAAGACCAGAUAUGUCGGCGCGCCCGCAAUGUAAUUAACACACUUGCACGUACUUUCCUCGCAUGUUAGGUGCUGGGAUUUGGUGAUUGACGCCCUAAAAUAGGCGGCUUUCGCUUCCCCACUUAACGGUGGCUUGGAAAAAAAAUGGCUAACGUGGUUUUACGGCGCUUGUGGUCUGCGGCGAGUAGGUCGGUAACCCAUCCGACCCGUCUUGAAACACGGACCAAGGAGUCUAACAUGUGAGCAAGUCACGAGGUUCGCGAAAGCAAAACCCGGUGGCGAAAUGAAAGUGAAGGUGUCAUUUGAUGGCAUAAAGGCAAGACCGAACACGGAAUCAAAUGAAAAACGUGAUUUGUGCAUUGCUGCCCCGUCCCAACUGCUUAAUUGUCGGUAAGGCGGAGGUUGAGCUCACACGUUGGGACCCGAAAGAUGGUGAACUAUGCCGGUACAGGACGAAGCCAGAGGAAACUCUGGUGGAGGUCCGUAGCGAUUCUGACGUGCAAAUCGAUCGUCUGAUAUCGGUAUAGGGGCGAAAGACUAAUCGAACCAUCUAGUAGCUGGUUCCCUCCGAAGUUUCCCUCAGGAUAGCUGGCACUCGGAGAAAAAUAAAACAGUCUCAUCCGGUAAAGCGAAUGAUUAGAGGCCUUGGGGCCGAAACGACCUCAACCUAUUCUCAAACUUUCAAUGGGUGAGAAGUCUGGCUUGCUUGAAUAAAACUUGAAUGUGAAUGAAGCUCAGACAUUGGAUGUGAGUGCCCAGUGGGCCACUUUUGGUAAGCAGAACUGGCGCUGUGGGAUGAACCAAACGCUGGGUUAUGGCGCCCGAUGCAGACGCUCAUGAGACCCCAUGAAAGGUGUUGGUGCUAUGACAGCAGGACGGUGGCCNNNNNNNNNNNNNNNNNNNNNNNNNNNNNNNNNNNNNNNNNNNNUUCCAUGUGAACAGCAGUUGAACAUGGGUCAAUCGGCCCUAAGGAAUAGGGGAAACCCGUUCCGAACAAGGAAAUAAACAAAUAGCAAUAAAAAUACCUUGUACAACCGAAAGGGAAUCUGGUUAAAAUUCCAGAAUUGGGAUGAAGAGAUGGGCCUUUAAACGGGUCUGAAGCGGUAACGCAAACGAACUCAGAGACGUCGGCGGCAGUCCCAGGAAGAGUUGUCUUUUCUUUGUAAGGGACUGACUCCCUGGAAUCGGUUCGACCGGAGAGAGGGAUGUUGUACCCGUAAAGCACCACGGCUCUUGUGGUGUCUGGAGAACUGCCGCUGGCCCUUGAAAAUCUGAGGGAGUAAAAAUCAUUUCUUCACCCAGCCGUACCCAUAUCCGCAGCAGGUCUCCAAGGUGAACAGCCUCUAGUCGAUAGAACA